AUGUCCAAGAUGCCAAAUCCAGAGAAGAAGUUGUUCAGGAUGCCAAGCGCAGAUGCCGAGAUGGCUGCACUGCACAAGGAAUGGGAUGAUGCUCGGUGUCCAAUUUGCAUGGACCAUCCUCACAAUGCUGUACUUCUGUUGUGCAGUUCUCAUGACAAAGGAUGCAGAUCCUACAUAUGUGAUACAAGCUACAGACACUCAAAUUGCCUAGACAGAUUCAGGAAAAUGAAAGUGAACCGCAUGGACAGUUCAUCACAGCCAAGCUCUUCCUUGCCUGGAGAUACAAGUAACCAAAGUGCUUCACAGAGAUCCCAUCUCGGUCCCAGUAGAGGGAGCCCCAGGCUGUUAAUCGAUGUACCUGAAUUCCGUGAAAAUCUCAGUCAUGAACAUGUCAUCCGUAGCCCUGCAGCCGUAUCUGGACAACAAGAAGGAACUAACUAUAAUCAAGGUCCAGUAACAUUGGAAGCUCUUAUGGGACAAGUGACUGGGCAAGUCGAGUCAGCUGAGGCAUCCAACUCAAACGAAUUGAUGUGCCCACUGUGUAGGGGUGCUGUGAAGGGCUGGGAGAUCAUCAAAGAUGCCAGACAGUACCUGGAUGAGAAGCCAAGAAGCUGCUCGCGGGAAGCAUGCGCAUUUUCUGGUACCUAUGGUGCGCUCCGUAGACAUGCCAGGAGGGUGCACCCCACUACCAGGCCUGCUGAUGUGGACCCAUCAAGGCGCCGCGCGUGGCACCGCCUGGAGAACCAGCGAGAGUAUGGUGACAUAAUGAGCGCAAUCAGGUCGGCUAUGCCUGGGUCAGUUGUGCUUGGAGAUUACGUCAUUGAAGGUGGGCCAAGUGCAGAUGAGCGUGAAGACGGUGGGCCAAGUGAGCGAAGCGGGUCUCUGUUGACAACGUUCUUUCUAUUCCAUAUGAUGAACAGUGGUCCGCUGAGAUCAGGAGACGAGCCAAGAGCCUCAUCAAGGGCCCUGAGAAGGCAGAGGCGCCGCUACCUGUGGGGAGAGAACUUGCUAGGCCUCCAAUACGACGACGACGACGAUGAUGAGGAUGAGGAUAGCCUAGACGAGGAGGUUCAGAGGCCCAGGACUCGCAGGAGGUUCGUGAGGUCAAGGUCGGAGGAGCGGCGCUGA
Molecule: ribosomal RNA, 1128 nt
Filed under: Triticum aestivum (bread wheat)
Lineage: Eukaryota; Viridiplantae; Streptophyta; Magnoliopsida; Poales; Poaceae
Description: partial small subunit ribosomal RNA
Source: RNAcentral